Molecule: non-coding RNA, 71 nt
Organism: Podarcis lilfordi (Lilford's wall lizard)
Lineage: Eukaryota; Metazoa; Chordata; Lepidosauria; Squamata; Lacertidae
Source: the annotation of a GenBank genome assembly
GGACCAUAGCUCAGUGACAGAGCAUUUGCCUUGCAUUCAGAAGGUCCCAGGUUCACUCCUCGGCAUCUCCA